This 230-nucleotide ribosomal RNA is filed under the name uncultured bacterium. RNAcentral describes it as "partial 16S ribosomal RNA". It matches the Rfam family "Bacterial small subunit ribosomal RNA", at positions 28 to 254 of the family's 1533-position model. The record is from RNAcentral.
GAUGAACGCUAGCGGCAGGCUUAACACAUGCAAGUCGAGGGGCAGCGGGGUGUAGCAAUACACUGCCGGCGACCGGCGCACGGGUGCGUAACGCGUAUGCAACCUACCCAUAACAGGGGCAUAACACUGAGAAAUUGGUACUAAUUCCCCAUAACAUUCGAAGAGGCAUCUCUUUGGGUUGAAAACUCCGGUGGUUAUGGAUGGGCAUGCGUUGUAUUAGCUAGUUGGUG